Canis lupus familiaris (dog) is the source of this 731-nucleotide long non-coding RNA. RefSeq lists it as uncharacterized. The record is from RefSeq and is a predicted model, not a curated record. NCBI's taxonomy places the organism in Eukaryota, Metazoa, Chordata, Mammalia, Carnivora, Canidae. The transcript has 4 exons.
AGCGUCUGUAGUCGCUUGUCUGGCUCCAGACUCUUUUGCAAUGUUAAAUAUUUCUGCUGAACUGGUUCCAAAUGACUGUGAGUAAGCAGAGGCACGGAAUGGACGCCCUUUCUGAUCUGGAGCUUUCAUGAGGGAAUACCACAUAUUCCCAGAAGAAUCACUUCAAAUUUAUGCUUCUUCUGUGUUAAGAGUGACAAGAGCAGUACAAUGGAAUCAUCAUUUAUCAAUAUACCAGGGGAAAGAGCUUUGUCUAUCUGUCAAGUAUCGAGCCCUCUGAGCAUUCAUUUUCUUAUUGGAAAAUGAGGAUAACAGUGGCUACUUAAGACUGUUCUGAAGAAUUAUGAAAUUAAAAUCAUGUGGAAUACAAAACGACUUCAGUUAAUUCUUUACUACAACAAAUUGAAAAAGAAAUUAAAACACGACCAAACAUGCUCAUGCUGAAUAUGGAGUACUGCUUAUUGGAUGCCAUGGGCACUGUUUCCAGUUGAAGAUACUUCUGUCAGACUUCUCAUCUAAGUCUUUGGCAUGAUUAGUGCUACUGCCUUCCCAAUCCCUUCAUUCUCAAUCGUAGAAUUGCCAAUACUAAAGAUUGUAUAUUGAAAGUUGAGGUUUCAAUACCCUUGUAAUGAUAAGCAUGUGAUUACAGAUAUAUGCAUCUUCACUUUGGUUCUAUUCCUCUAGUUCAGCUAUAAUUUACUUUGCUUCAUUUAAGGAAAAAAUGUUUGGGAAGG